Molecule: ribosomal RNA, 2266 nt
Filed under: Rhodomonas sp. CCMP768
Lineage: Eukaryota; Cryptophyceae; Pyrenomonadales; Pyrenomonadaceae
Description: partial Eukaryotic large subunit ribosomal RNA
Source: RNAcentral
CCCAAAAACUUUGAUUUCUCACAAGGUGCCAAUGGAGUCGCAAAUUGACAUCCACUGAUCCCUAGUCGGCAUAGUUUAUGGUUAAGACUACGACGGUAUCUGAUCGUCUUCGAUCCCCUAACUUUCGUUCUUGAUCAAUGAAAACAUCCUUGCCGAAUGCUUUCGCAGAAGUUUAUCUUUCGUAAAUCCAAGAAUUUCACCUCUGACAACGAAAUAUAAACGGCCCCAACUGUCCCUGUUAAUCAUUACUUCGGUCCCAUAAACCAACAAAUAAGACCAAAGUCCUAUUCCAUUAUUCCAUGCUAAUGUAUUCAAGCGUAGGCCUGCUUUGAACACUCUAAUUUUUUCAAAGUAAACGGCCUGCGUCCCACUACCCUACAGUUAAGUAGAGUAGGAUCCCCAGGCAGAAAGGCCCGGACAUGCCGUCCGACCGAAGGCCGACAGCCUCCCCGAGCCCGACAUCCGACUACGAGCUUUUUAACUGCAACAACUUUAAUAUACGCUAUUAGAGCUGGAAUUACCGCGGCUGCUGGCACCAGACUUGCCCUCUAAUUGAUCCUCGUAAAGAGAUUUAAAUUGUUCUCAUUCCAAUAACAAGACUGUAAGCCCUGUAUUGUUAUUUAUUGUCACUACCUCCCCGAGUCGGGAUUGGGUAAUUUGCGCGCCUGCUGCCUUCCUUGGAUGUGGUAGCCGUCUCUCAGGCUCCCUCUCCGGAAUCGAACCCUAAUUCUCCGUCACCCGUCAACACCAUGGUAGGCCACUACCCUACCAUCGAAAGUUGAUAGGGCAGAAAUUUGAAUGAUUUACCGCCGGCCAAAAUCAAAUAGCCAUGCGAUUUGGGAAGUUAUCAUGAUUCAUCCCGCCACGCCUUCUUUGAUAUAGAAGGCGAUUGGUUUUUGAUCUAAUAAAUCCCGCUGCCUUCUAGGGGUGUUUUGUUUCGCUCUUCUCUGAUGAAGAGUGAAACAAAACACCGCUCUGAAAACGCAGCGAUGGUGCAUGUAUUAGCUCUAGAAUUCCUACGGUUAUCCACGUAGCGCCGCAUGAUCAAAUAAACUAUAACUGUUGUAAUGAGCCAUUCGCAGUUUCACGGUACAAAAUCGUUCGUACUGAGACAUGCAUGGCUUAAUCCUUAAGACAAGCAUAUGACUACUGGCAGGAUCAACCAGGUAUCUACCAUCCAACAGCGCGGGCCGCUUUCUUCUCUUUCUUAUAUAUAAUUUUUCUAUGGAAGAAAACCAAGAGAUCCGCCCAUGCGCCUUUCCGUCUUGCGAAGAGGAAGAAAAAAAAAAAAAUUCAGAACCAACAGGCCAAACCUUGUUUUUUUAUUUUCGCUCACCAAAAAACCGUCAGAGUUUCCCCCGACGACCAUCUCUAUUCAUGUUCAAAGAAGGGAGGGGAUUUUCCAUUGCUUUGCAGAUGAUAACACUAUCUUCCUUUUGCCACUUUGGCUUUGUUUAUGUUUCAAAGAUUCCUUGACGUCCCGGCCGGAGCAAAGAAAACGAAAUUCUCCUUUCCGUUUUCUCUCUUCCCACGACCGCCCCAAGGAGGGCAUUACCAACGAGUAUCAGACCAGAAGUCCCAAGAUGGUAUAGUGUCUACAGAUGUUCUCCCUUGUCGUUAGAAUCUACAGAUACUAUACCUACCCUAGUGAAUCCUCCUAGCCUUUAGAAUUGUCUUCUUUAUGUUAUCUUUCUCUUUCCUGAAAAAGAGAAAAAUACAUAAAGAUAAUUCAUACGCUUUUUUUUUUUACAUAUCUAUAAAAAAAAAAAAAGAAUUAAACACCGUCCCCCCACCUUUUGAUCUUGGAAAAUCAAAGAAGGCAGGUCGAUGUUUUCUAACAAGCAUCACUCACUUCCCGUGCAAGACUAGUAAGUCAAGUCUUCGCAUUCCAAUCGACACACCAGGAAUCCAAGAAAAUGGAAAAAUACCAAACCAUUUCUUGACAAAUCAGCACUCUCUCCUAUGCCCCUGUAAUUCCUACAGGACCAAGAGCAUCCAACGCAAUCUUAAGGUCUCUUCAUUCUCCAAUUCUCCUCGUCUUAAAAUUUUUGAGAAAAAAAAAAAAAAAAAAAAAGACAAGAGAACCGGAGAAGACAUCACUUCUGACGCCUAAAAGCGCAAUGAAGUGAGAAGUAAGGCCUCUUAAAAAAAUAAAAAUUAAGGAGAGAAGCUAAAAUAUACUCUCUCUCCAUCCACCCACCCAUCACAUUUACUCCUCUUUGGUUUUUUUUCCUUCAUAAAUAACCGAAAACAUUUUUAACCUCAC